UUAUGUUUGGGUGGAUACUUUGCCGCCGUGUGCUUAGGCGGAUGCUUUGCCGAUAUGGUUGUGCUUCUUGAGUGGAUGCUUUGCCAUAAUUGUUAUGUUCGGGUGGAUGCUUUGCCGCCGUGUGCUUAGGCGGAUGCUUUGCCGCCUUGGUCAUGUUGCUUGGGUGGAUGCUUCGCCACCUUUGGGCACCUUUAGGCAACUUUAUUGAUGAUGUAUCUUUCUUUUGCAGGUUCAGUUGUUUAGGUUAUCUUUAGUUUUUUAGGUUGCAGGGUCCCUUCCCC
Molecule: long non-coding RNA, 281 nt
Filed under: Setaria viridis
Lineage: Eukaryota; Viridiplantae; Streptophyta; Magnoliopsida; Poales; Poaceae
Description: long non-coding RNA (SVIR_LNC005759)
Source: RNAcentral